CCGAGUUUACAACUCUCCAAACCCUGUGAACAUACCACUUGUUGCCUCGGCGGAUCAGCCGCUCUCGGUACUGACCCCCAGAGGACUCCUAACUCUGUUCUAUAUUGGAACUUCUGAAGUAAAACUAAGAAAUAAGUCA
Molecule: unclassified non-coding RNA, 139 nt
Filed under: soil metagenome
Description: partial internal transcribed spacer 1
Source: RNAcentral